ACUCUUUAUGUAAUUUUCCUUUUUCAUUAAUAAAAUUGUCUUUUUGUUAAUGUCAAAAGGGGAAAGAUAAGGGGAUAUGGCAUUUCGUUUUUAUGCAUUUUAUUUUAAAAUAUUUUAUGCAUAAAUUGAGGGGGAACUCAAAAAUAACUUGUAUAAUAUUUGGCAUAGUCAAAUUAUAUUUUUAUGCAUAUCGCCAUAUUGGUUU
RNAcentral lists this long non-coding RNA (205 nucleotides) under Nicotiana benthamiana. RNAcentral describes it as "long non-coding RNA (NBEN_LNC000171)". The record is from RNAcentral. Lineage: Eukaryota; Viridiplantae; Streptophyta; Magnoliopsida; Solanales; Solanaceae.